This 517-nucleotide ribosomal RNA is filed under the name uncultured bacterium. Its description in RNAcentral is "bacterial SSU rRNA". It matches the Rfam family "Bacterial small subunit ribosomal RNA", at positions 350 to 857 of the family's 1533-position model. The record is from RNAcentral.
AGCAGUGAGGAAUAUUGCGCAAUGGGGGCAACCCUGACGCAGCAACGCCGCGUGAGUGAGGAAGGUUUUCGGACCGUAAAGCUCUGUCGAGUGGGAAGAAAUGUAUCGUGGCUAAUAUCCAUGAUACUUGACGGUACCGCUAAAGGAAGCACCGGCUAACUCCGUGCCAGCAGCCGCGGUAAUACGGGGGGUGCGAGCGUUGUUCGGAAUUAUUGGGCGUAAAGAGCGUGUAGGCGGCUGAAUAAGUCAGAUGUGAAAUCCCUGGGCUUAACCCAGGAAGUGCAUUUGAAACUAUUCAGCUUGAGUAGGGGAGAGGAAAGUGGAAUUCCUGGUGUAGAGGUGAAAUUCGUAGAUAUCAGGAGGAACACCGGUGGCGAAGGCGACUUUCUGGCCCUAUACUGACGCUGAGACGCGAGAGCGUGGGUAGCAAACAGGAUUAGAUACCCUGGUAGUCCACGCUGUAAACGAUGUUCACUAGGUGUUGGGGGUAUUGACCCUCUCAGUGCCGCAGCUAACG